Molecule: ribosomal RNA, 3084 nt
Filed under: Arthonia kermesina
Lineage: Eukaryota; Fungi; Ascomycota; Arthoniomycetes; Arthoniales; Arthoniaceae
Description: large subunit ribosomal RNA
Rfam family: Bacterial large subunit ribosomal RNA
Source: RNAcentral
UCUAAGAGAAAUUAAUUAAUAAACGAAGUGAAUUGAAAUAUCUUAUUAACUUCAGGAAAAUAAAUCAAACGAGAUUCUAUGAUUAACGUGAGUUAAAAUGGAUAAGCCUAAACAUAAACACGGAUUAAAACUUAUAAUUAAAAUGGUAUAAAUUCUGUUUGAAAAAAGGGGAACCUUCCUCUAAGGCUAAAUAUGAUACAUAAGAUAUAGAGAAAAGUACCGUGAGGGAACAUAAAGAAAGAGUAAUCUUAUAAGUAACUAUAAUAAAAUUAAAAAUAUAUUAAUAGUGUACCUUUUGCAUAAUGGGUCAGCAAGUUAAUGUUAGAUGCGAGCUAUAAAAGCCCAGAUAAACCAAUUAUGGAAUAAUGAAUUAGUAUCUAAUAUUAGACCCGAAGCCUAGUGAUCUUACCAUGAUCAGGAUUAUAAAAGUCCGAACGGGUUAUCGUUGUAUAGAUAUCCGAAGAAUCGUGGUAAGUUGAUGAAAGAUAACACUGACUAGGAUAGCUGGUUUUCUGCGAAACCUAUCUAAGUAGGUAAUUCAAAUAAAAUCUUAGCAGGUACAUAAUUAGUUCUCUGGCAAAUUAUUUUAAUUUGCAUACAUCGUGGGAAUUUGAGAGAAUUCUUCGGGGAAUAAUUAAUAUCGGAAGGGUAAAGAUAGUGGAUAAUGUACAUAAUUUUGAAUAGUCAGACAUAAAAUGCUAAGGUUAUAUGUCUAAAGGGAAACAGCCCAGAACAAGUGUUAAUAAGGUUCCAAAAUUAUUGUUGAGUGAAAUAAAAGAAGUCAUUGUUUUAUACGAUCAGGAAAUAGGCUUAGGGGCUGCCAUUUUUUAAAGAACUCGUAAUAGAGCACUGAUUUACAGUUUAACUGAUUAACAAAAAUAUAUUUUUGUUAAAAUGAUGGUACUGAAGAUAUAACGGAUCUAAAUAAUAUACCGAUACCUUGUUUACAUUAAUACUAAAAAACUCUUUAAAUAUUAAUGUAGGGUAGCAGAACAUUGAGCAAAUAUAAAGUUUAUUGUUUUUAAUAAUUGUAACUAAAUAACUCAAGUGAUAAUGCUGACAUGAGUAACGAAAGGAUAAGACCUAACUCUAUAUUGAGUGGGGCUCCCGCCUUAAGCUUAAACAUUUAGCAAAAAGUAACGGUUACUAAGUUUUAAACCCAAAAGGGUUAAACGAUGAAUAUAAUCUAAAACAUACUUAAAACUUUAGUAUAUUAAUACGUGUGAUGUAUAUUUAUAAGGAUUAAAAACAGAUUUUGGUAUAUAAAUAUAUAAAUAGAGAUAAAAGCUUGCACCUAUGUUAAUAAAAGUGAUAAAGUUCUGGAAACAAGUGUGUUUGUUUUAAUUACCGUAGCUGAUCAAGUUAAAGUAAAGCAAGUAGAGAAUACGAAGGCGUUAGAGAUAACAAUCAUUAAGGAACUCGGCAAAUUGACUCACGUAACUUCGGGAGAAGGAGUGCCGUUCACCUAAUUAAUAUUAGACAAGAAAAGGAGACAUAAAAUGGUGUUGUACGACUGUUUAAUUAAAACAAAGCACUUUGCGCAAGAUGUUAAAUCAAAGUAUUGAGUGUGAUGUCUGCCCAAUAUCGGCUGGUUAACGGAUUUACUUGAUUAACUGAAAUAAGUCAGGUUUAGAAGGAACCCCCGAGCAAUGGCGGCCUUAACUAUGAGGGUCCUAAGGUAGCGAAACUACUUGGCCGCUAAAUACGGUCCUGCAUUAAUGAUGUAACGAUACAACAGCUGUCUCAAUGAUUGGCUCGGUGAAAUUGUAAUAGCAGUGCAGAUACUGCUUACUUCUAGAAAGACGAGAAGACCCUUUGCAGCUUUACUGUUACUAAUUACUGGGUAUGAUACAACUGGUUUUAGUGUAUAAGGUAGUCGAUUAAACUCAAUUGAAACACCUUUAUUUAGUUUAUCAUAUAAGUAGAUGAUGUUUGUACUAGUAUAUUGCUAGAUAUUUUUGCUUAUUUAAAAAGUGAAACCUUGAUUAAGCUAAUCUACAAAUUUAUUUUACUGUGACUUAUUCUUAUCUUAAAGAAAACAGUUGUUAGGAGACAGUUUAUGCGGGGCACAGCUCCCUUAAAGAGUACCAGGGUAUAUCCAAAAUUAUUUUAGUAAACUUGCGAUAUGCAAUAUAUUUAUUUUUAAUCAGUCAUUGGUAAUUUUAAUUAUCAAUUCGAUAUUUAUCUAUUUAAUUUAGAAUUUUUUUUUAUGAAAGUAGAAUUUAAACUAUAUUGAACAUAGAUGUAAUCAGAAAUGUAUAGUGUUUACACUAUAAAGAUUUUCGGUUUGUAUAUAGGUUUAUAAACCUAUAUAUAGAUUAUUAUUUUUACUAGAAAGGUUUAACGGCUAGAUUCUGCUUUACUGUUUGACUUACAAGUCUAUCAGUCGCGUAAGCGGGGCAUAUGAUCACAAGACAUUAAAAGGAAAGGUCUUGGGUUAUUGAGAAAAGCUACGCUAGGGAUAACAGGCUAAUUGCGCCAGAGAGCACAAAUUGAGUGCGCAGUUUGGCACCUCGAUGUCGGCUUAGCUCAUCCACAUGAAUGCAAGAAUCAUGAAGGGUGCGACUGUUCGUCGAUUAAAGAGCUACACGAGCUGGGUUAAAUACGUCGUGAGACAGUAUGGUUUCUAUCUUCUAGAAGAUAUAAGAACAAAAAAAGGACAGCCCCAUGUACGAAAGGAGUUGGGUAUGUUAACCUAUGGUUUACCUGUUGUUUAUUUACUUGUAAAUGCAAAAACAUUUGCAAUUUCCCAAUAUUAACCUUAUAAGUACGGUUACUAUUGUCAAUUUAACUAAACAUUUUUAUAGUUAAUAGAUGUUAUAACUUGGAAAAUAAUGUUAUAUAAGUGUACGAUUAUCGUCGUGCAUUCAUAUAGGAUUUAUAUUUACGCUUAAAUAUAAGUGAGUUAGGCAUAGCAGGAACGCUAAGUUAAUUAAAAAUAAGUGCUGAAUGAAUCUAGGCACGAAAUAUACCUUUAUAUGUUUUUGUAAAAGGUAGUUUAACACUACCUAUUUAUGAUCUAGUAGAUCAUAAAAAUAGGCUUUAGCUUAAAUAAUUUUAAUAUUUUUAGGCAUAAAGUACUAA